This 487-nucleotide ribosomal RNA is filed under the name uncultured bacterium. RNAcentral describes it as "bacterial SSU rRNA". It matches the Rfam family "Bacterial small subunit ribosomal RNA", at positions 28 to 498 of the family's 1533-position model. The record is from RNAcentral.
GACGAACGCUGGCGGCGUGCUUAACACAUGCAAGUCGAACGGGGAAUCAGCAAUGAUUUCUAGUGGCGAACGGGUGAGUAACGCGUAGAUAACCUGCCUUCUAGAUGGGGACAACACUCCGAAAGGAGUGCUAAUACCGAAUGUGGCAUAGCAGUUACCUAACCGCUAUGUUAAAGGUGGCCUCUUUAUAUGCUACCGCUAGAAGAUGGGUCUGCGUCUGAUUAGCUAGUUGGUGAGGUAACAGCUCACCAAGGCGACGAUCAGUAGCCGGUCUGAGAGGAUGAACGGCCACACUGGAACUGAGACACGGUCCAGACUCCUACGGGAGGCAGCAGUGGGGAAUAUUGCGCAAUGGGGGCAACCCUGACGCAGCAACGCCGCGUGAGUGAGGAAGGUUUUCGGACCGUAAAGCUCUGUCGAGUGGGAAGAAGUGUAUCAUGGCUAAUAUCCGUGAUAUUUGACGGUACCGCUAGAGGAAGCACCGGUA